This 889-nucleotide ribosomal RNA is filed under the name uncultured bacterium. Its description in RNAcentral is "bacterial SSU rRNA". It matches the Rfam family "Bacterial small subunit ribosomal RNA", at positions 8 to 916 of the family's 1533-position model. The record is from RNAcentral.
AGAGUUUGAUUAUGGCUCAGGAUGAACGCUGGCGGCGUGCCUAACACAUGCAAGUCGAACGGUAGCCCAAUUUCGGUUGGGUGAGAGUGGCGAACGGGUGAGUAACACGUUGGUGACCUGCCCCGAACCGGGGGAUAACACCUCGAAAGAGGCGCUAAUACCCCGGAGGUCUGGACUAUUAGAGGGUUCAGACUAAAUCUGAGGCGGUUCGGGAGGGGCCUGCGGGCUAUCAGCUAGUUGGUGAGGUAAUGGCUCACCAAGGCGCAGACGGCUAGGGGGCGUGAGAGCGUGACCCCCCACAAGGGAACUGAGAAACGGUCCCUACUCCUACGGGAGGCAGCAGUGAGGAAUAUUGAGCAAUGGGCGCAAGCCUGACUCAGCAACGCCGCGUGGACGAUGACGGCCUUCGGGUUGUAAAGUCCUUUUCUGGAGGACGAUGAUGACGGUACUCCAGGAACAAGUCCCGGCUAACUACGUGCCAGCAGCCGCGGUAAAACGUAGGGGGCGAGCGUUAUCCGGAUUUACUGGGCGUAAAGCGCAUGUAGGCGGUUGGGUAAGUUAGACGUGAAAGCUCCCGGCUUAACUGGGAGAGGUCGUUUGAAACUAUCCGACUGGAGGUUGGAAGAGGAGAGUGGAAUUCCCGGUGUAGUGGUGGAAUGCGUAGAGAUCGGGAGGAACACCAGUGGCGAAAGCGGCUCUCUGGACCAAUUCUGACGCUGAGAUGCGAAAGCGUGGGGAGCAAACGGGAUUAGAUACCCCGGUAGUCCACGCUGUAAACGAUGGAGACUAGGUGUCGGCGGUCAUUUACCCCGUCGGUGCCGCAGCUAACGCGUUAAGUCUCCCGCCUGGGGACUACGGCCGCAAGGUUAAAACUCAAAGGAAUUGACGG